GAUGAAGAACGCAGCGAAAUGCGAUAAGUAGUGUGAAUUGCAGAAUUCAGUGAAUCAUCGAAUCUUUGAACGCACAUUGCGCCCCUUGGUAUUCCAUGGGGCAUGCCUGUUCGAGCGUCAUUUGUACACUCAAGCUUUGCUUGGUGUUGGGUGUUUGUCCCGCGUUGCGCGUGGACUCGCCUUAAAGCGAUUGGCAGCCGGCAUAUUGGCCUUGGAGCGCAGCACAUUUUGCGCUUCUAGUCAUGAAUGUUGGCGUCCAUUAAGCCUAUACAUUUGCUCUUGACCUCGGAUCAGGUAGGGAUACCCGCUGAACUUAAGCAUAUCAAUAAGCGGAGGA
RNAcentral lists this unclassified non-coding RNA (337 nucleotides) under soil metagenome. RNAcentral's name for it is "partial contains 5.8S ribosomal RNA, internal transcribed spacer 2, and large subunit ribosomal RNA". The stretch from base 1 to 120 matches the Rfam family "5.8S ribosomal RNA", at positions 35 to 154 of the family's 154-position model. The record is from RNAcentral.